This 252-nucleotide ribosomal RNA is filed under the name uncultured bacterium. Its description in RNAcentral is "partial 16S ribosomal RNA". It matches the Rfam family "Bacterial small subunit ribosomal RNA", at positions 524 to 776 of the family's 1533-position model. The record is from RNAcentral.
UACGUAGGGUGCGAGCGUUGUCCGGAAUUAUUGGGCGUAAAGAGCUUGUAGGCGGUUUGUCGCGUCUGCCGUGAAAGUCCGGGGCUCAACUCCGGAUCUGCGGUGGUACGGGCAGACUAGAGUGAUGUAGGGGAGACUGGAAUUCCUGGUGUAGCGGUGAAAUGCGCAGAUAUCAGGAGGAACACCGAUGGCGAAGGCAGGUCUCUGGGCAUUAACUGACGCUGAGGAGCGAAAGCAUGGGGAGCGAACAGG